RNAcentral lists this long non-coding RNA (628 nucleotides) under Manacus vitellinus (golden-collared manakin). Its description in RNAcentral is "lncRNA (ENSMVIG00005012992.1)". The record is from RNAcentral. Lineage: Eukaryota; Metazoa; Chordata; Aves; Passeriformes; Pipridae.
CUCACAGCUGAGUUUGGCUCCUGUACCUGAGCAUCAGGAGUGCUCACCAUGGUUGAAAGAGCCAGAAUCACUCUCUGGCCAGUCCUCGAGGCCUCUUCUGGCUUUGGUUUUGCUUCCCAUUAAGUUUCUUAGUUCAGGAGUGAAGAACAGGAGAAAAGAGAAAGCUGAAAUAUAUAGCUGUGAAAUAUGGCUUGCCGUGUCAACUAGCCAGUGCCUGCAGCCUAAAAGGAAUUUUGAGCACUGGUCCUGAAGUUCCCCAAACACCUCCUGGACUCCUGGUCUGCAUGCACAGUUGGAUGAAGACACCAGGAAAUUUAGACUGAGAUGGACUGUGGGAAGUUGCAAAAAUCAGGACUUUGGAUAUGCUUUUUUUAAAAAAAAAUCUGAUUUGGAGAUAAUAUAAAAGAAAAAGGAAAAACGUAUGAAUUUUUUUGGACCUUGGUGUGGUGAACACGACUUCCACAGCCUCAUGUAUCAGGUCUGUGAAACUCUCCCAACAUUAUUCUCAACAAAUUCACGGCCCAUAGGUGAGCCAUGGUGAGCAUAAGCAUUUUUUGUCAAGCCAACGAGGAUCUUAUUGCUAUGUGGAAAAUAUUUACUGCUAUUGCUGAUGAUUAUUUAUCAUAGG